CCUACGGGAGGCAGCAGUGGGGGAUAUUGCACAAUGGGGGGAACCCUGAUGCAGCGACGCCGCGUGGGUGAAGAAGCGCCUCGGCGCGUAAAGCCCUGUCAGCAGGGAAGAAAAUGACGGUACCUGAAGCAGAAGCCCCGGCUAACUACGUGCCAGCAGCCGCGGUAAUACGUAGGGGGCAAGCGUUAUCCGGAUGUACUGGGUGUAAAGGGGGCGCAGACGGCGAUGCAAGCCAGGAGUGAAAGCCCGGGGCCCAACCCCGGGACUGCUCUUGGAACUGCGUGGCUGGAGUGCAGGAGGGGCAGGCGGAAUUCCUGGUGUAGCGGUGAAAUGCGUAGAUAUCAGGAGGAACACCGGUGGCGAAGGCGGCCUGCUGGACUGCAACUGACGUUGAGGCCCGAAAGCGUGGGGAGCAAACAGGAUUAGAUACCCCAGUAGUC
Molecule: ribosomal RNA, 440 nt
Filed under: uncultured bacterium
Lineage: Bacteria
Description: partial 16S ribosomal RNA
Rfam family: Bacterial small subunit ribosomal RNA
Source: RNAcentral